RNAcentral lists this ribosomal RNA (1492 nucleotides) under Lacticaseibacillus rhamnosus. Its description in RNAcentral is "bacterial SSU rRNA". It matches the Rfam family "Bacterial small subunit ribosomal RNA". The record is from RNAcentral. Lineage: Bacteria; Bacillati; Bacillota; Bacilli; Lactobacillales; Lactobacillaceae.
GAUGAACGCUGGCGGCGUGCCUAAUACAUGCAAGUCGAACGAGUUCUGAUUAUUGAAAGGUGCUUGCAUCUUGAUUUAAUUUUGAACGAGUGGCGGACGGGUGAGUAACACGUGGGUAACCUGCCCUUAAGUGGGGGAUAACAUUUGGAAACAGAUGCUAAUACCGCAUAAAUCCAAAAACCGCAUGGUUCUUGGCUGAAAGAUGGCGUAAGCUAUCGCUUUUGGAUGGACCCGCGGCGUAUUAGCUAGUUGGUGAGGUAACGGCUCACCAAGGCAAUGAUACGUAGCCGAACUGAGAGGUUGAUCGGCCACAUUGGGACUGAGACACGGCCCAAACUCCUACGGGAGGCAGCAGUAGGGAAUCUUCCACAAUGGACGCAAGUCUGAUGGAGCAACGCCGCGUGAGUGAAGAAGGCUUUCGGGUCGUAAAACUCUGUUGUUGGAGAAGAAUGGUCGGCAGAGUAACUGUUGUCGGCGUGACGGUAUCCAACCAGAAAGCCACGGCUAACUACGUGCCAGCAGCCGCGGUAAUACGUAGGUGGCAAGCGUUAUCCGGAUUUAUUGGGCGUAAAGCGAGCGCAGGCGGUUUUUUAAGUCUGAUGUGAAAGCCCUCGGCUUAACCGAGGAAGUGCAUCGGAAACUGGGAAACUUGAGUGCAGAAGAGGACAGUGGAACUCCAUGUGUAGCGGUGAAAUGCGUAGAUAUAUGGAAGAACACCAGUGGCGAAGGCGGCUGUCUGGUCUGUAACUGACGCUGAGGCUCGAAAGCAUGGGUAGCGAACAGGAUUAGAUACCCUGGUAGUCCAUGCCGUAAACGAUGAAUGCUAGGUGUUGGAGGGUUUCCGCCCUUCAGUGCCGCAGCUAACGCAUUAAGCAUUCCGCCUGGGGAGUACGACCGCAAGGUUGAAACUCAAAGGAAUUGACGGGGGCCCGCACAAGCGGUGGAGCAUGUGGUUUAAUUCGAAGCAACGCGAAGAACCUUACCAGGUCUUGACAUCUUUUGAUCACCUGAGAGAUCGGGUUUCCCCUUCGGGGGCAAAAUGACAGGUGGUGCAUGGUUGUCGUCAGCUCGUGUCGUGAGAUGUUGGGUUAAGUCCCGCAACGAGCGCAACCCUUAUGACUAGUUGCCAGCAUUUAGUUGGGCACUCUAGUAAGACUGCCGGUGACAAACCGGAGGAAGGUGGGGAUGACGUCAAAUCAUCAUGCCCCUUAUGACCUGGGCUACACACGUGCUACAAUGGAUGGUACAACGAGUUGCAAGACCGCGAGGUCAAGCUAAUCUCUUAAAGCCAUUCUCAGUUCGGACUGUAGGCUGCAACUCGCCUACACGAAGUCGGAAUCGCUAGUAAUCGCGGAUCAGCACGCCGCGGUGAAUACGUUCCCGGGCCUUGUACACACCGCCCGUCACACCAUGAGAGUUUGUAACACCCGAAGCCGGUGGCGUAACCCUUUUAGGGAGCGAGCCGUCUAAGGUGGGACAAAUGAUUAGGGUG